UUCGGAUUGUAGUCUGCAACCCGACUACAUGAAGCUGGAAUCGCUAGUAAUCGCGAAUCAGAAUGUCGCGGUGAAUACGUUCCCGGGUCUUGUACACACCGCCCGUCACACCAUGGGAGUCGGAAAUGCCCGAAGUCAGUGACCUAACCGAAAGGGAGGAGCUGCCGAAGGUGGAGCCGGUAACUGGGGUGAAGUCGUAACAAGGUAAC
Molecule: ribosomal RNA, 209 nt
Filed under: uncultured bacterium
Lineage: Bacteria
Description: partial 16S ribosomal RNA
Rfam family: Bacterial small subunit ribosomal RNA
Source: RNAcentral